CCUACGGGAGGCAGCAGUGGGGAAUUUUGGACAAUGGGGGCAACCCUGAUCCAGCAAUGCCGCGUGAGUGAAGAAGGCCUUCGGGUUGUAAAGCUCUUUUAGUCAGGGUAAGAAACAGCAGCUCUAACACAGCUGUGAAUGACGGUACCUGAAGAAUAAGCACCGGCUAACUACGUGCCAGCAGCCGCGGUAAUACGUAGGGUGCAAGCGUUAAUCGGAAUUACUGGGCGUAAAGCGUGCGCAGGCGGUUAUAUAAGACAGGUGUGAAAUCCCCGGGGCUUAACCUGGGAAUUGCAUCUGUGACUGUAUAGCUAGAGUGUGUCAGAGGGGGGUUAGAAUUCCACGUGUAGCAGUGAAAUGCGUAGAUAUGUGGAGGAAUACCAAUGGCGAAGGCAGCCCCCCUGGGAUAACACCGACGCUCAUGCACGAAAGCGUGGGGAGCAAACAGGAUUAGAUACCCUGGUAGUCCACGCCCUAAACGAUGCUGACUAGUUGUUCGGGUAUUUUAUCCUGAGUAACGUAGCUAACGNGUAGAGUCNGCGCGUGGGNGGUACGGUCGCGAGUAAACGUACGAAGAAGUAGAGCGNGAGAGAGCGACGGACGACGACGAGGGAGGAGG
RNAcentral lists this ribosomal RNA (619 nucleotides) under uncultured bacterium. RNAcentral describes it as "bacterial SSU rRNA". The stretch from base 1 to 544 matches the Rfam family "Bacterial small subunit ribosomal RNA", at positions 338 to 873 of the family's 1533-position model. The record is from RNAcentral.